ACGGCUAAAGCGUGCGGAGAAUGUCAAGAGAGGGCGGGGUCGACCGAUUUUGACAUGGGAGGAGUCCGUUAAGAGAGAUCUGAAGGAUUGGAGUAUCGACAAAGAGCUAGCUAUGGACAGGGGUGCGUGGAAGCUUGCUAUCCAUGUGCCAGAGCCAUGAGUUGGUUGCGAGAUCUUGUGGGUUUCACCUCUAGCCUACCCCAACUUGUUUGGGACUAAAGGCUUUGUUGUUGUUGUUGUUGUUGUUUAGGUGAUUCUGAUAUUGAACUAAAUUUCUCUGUGAUCUAUGAGGUUUUAGUUGGAUUUAGUUAGGUGAUUGUGUCUUCAGAAGAUAAUCAAAGAUGUUUGAUGGGUUAUGAGAUUAUAGGUCUAAUAAAUGAGCAUGGUGAUUAUUAUAUAGUUAGGUGAAUGUGAUUUGAUGAGCUAGUAAAAGAUGCUCGGUGAAUUAUUGUGAAUUUAGGUCUAGUAGGUGAGCAUGUUGAUUAUUAUAUUGAUGGAUAAAUAAAUCUUUAAUAAAUUUAAAACAAUUUGGAUUUAGUUAGACGAUUGUGACCUUGAACCAAAUUUCAUGGUGGAUUAUGAGAUUUUUGAUGGAUUAGUUAGUUGAUUGUGAUCUUCAAGAGAUAGUCAAAGAUGUUUUGUGGAUUAAUUAAUCUUGAACAACUUGGAUUUAGUUAAGUGGUUGCGAUACUGAACCGAAUUUCACGCUGGAUUAUGAGAUUGUAGGUGGAUUUAGUUAGGUGAUUGUGUCUUGAGAAUAUUGUCAUAGAUGUUUGCUAGUCUAUGAGAUUUUAGGUUUAGUAGAUGGGAAUGGUGAUUAUUAUAUUGGUAGAUAAACAAAUCUUUAUUUUAGUUUGGAACAAUUUUGACUCAGUUAGGUGAUUGUUAUGUUUAAACCAAAUUUACAGUGGAUUUUGAGAUUUUUUUGGAUUUAGUUAGGCGAUUGUGAUGUAGUACAAAUUUCAUGGUGGAGAUUUGCAAUGGAUUUAGUUGAUUGUGAUCUUGAGAAGAUAGUCAGAGAUGUUCGGUGGAUAAAUUAAUCUUGAACAAUUUGAAUAUAUUUAGGUGAUUGUGAUAUUGAACCAAAUUUCUCUUAUGAUUUAUGGGAUUUUAGUUGGAUUUAAUUAGGUGAUUGUGUCUUGAGAUGAUAAUCAAAUAUGUUUGGUGGAUUAUGAGAUUUUAGGUCUAGUGGAUGAGCAUGGUGAUUACUAUAUUGGUGGAUAAGCAUAUAUUUAAUUUAGUUUGGAGCAAUUUGGAUUUAGUCAGGUGAUUGGGUUCUUGACGAGCUAGUAAAAGAUGUUCGGUGGAUUAUGCGAAUUUAGGUCUAGUAGGUGAGCAUGUUGGUUAUUAUAUUGGUGGAUAAUUUUUUUUUAAUAAACUUGGAAAAGUUUGGAUUUAGUUAGGCGAUUGUGAUCUUGAACCAAAUUUUAUGGUGGAUUAUGAGAAUUUUGAUGGAUUAGUUAGUUGAUUGUAAUCUUGAGGAGAUAGUCAAAGAUAUUCGGUGUAUUAAUUAAUCUUGGACAAUUUGCAUUUAGUUAGGUGAUUGUGAUAUUGUACAAAAUUUCUUCGUGAUUUAUGAGAUUUUAGUUGUGUUUAUUUAGAUGAUUGUGUUUUGAGAAGAUAGUCAAAGAUGUUUGGUGGAUUAUGAGAUUUUAGGUCUAAUAGAUGCGCAUGGUGAUUGUUAUAUUGGUGGAUAAAUGAAUCUUUAAUAAAUUUGGAAUAAUUUGGAUUUAGUUAUCCGACUGUGAUCUUGAAUCAAAUUUUAUGGUGGAUUAUGAGAUACUCCACGCAUCUCCUGCGCCCCGCAACCCUCUCCUUCCCAGCACAGCAGGAGCAGGAGCAAGGAUGCCGAGGCGGUUCAGUCGCGAGGAAGAGUAGGAAGAUCAGGCAGAGAGGGUUUCACACACCUCUUCUACACUGACAACUCUUUGCUUUCCAGGAUUGCCAUGGGAGCUUUGGAUGGUGGUCUUGAUCUUCCGCACAGUGACAAGAGAUUUGCUGGCUUCAAGAAGGAUAAGCAGCUGGGCGCUGAGAUUCACCUCAAAUACAUCUAUGAAGGUCAUGUUGCUGACUACAUGAAGUCAAUAGCUGAUGAGGAACCUAAGAAGUACCAAUCUCACUUCAGUGAGUACAUCAAGAAGAACUGAAGAAGAUCAAGGGUUACAGAUGCCAGUGCCACAAGGCUUGCCUAACAAAGGUUCCCAGAAAAGGAAUGGUUUGACAAAAAAAGGCUUUGCUCUCCAGGUGCAGAACACUUUCCCCCUCCCCAUCGAUGACGAUCUUCCUGUAUGAGCAUUUUCAUCUGUGCUCCCUAUUUUCCUUGCUCCACUAAGAAUGAAGCCAUUAACUGUUGACUGUAAUUGCGGGGUAGCUCUUUUAGUACCACAGAAGUUAUUCCGAAAGGUCAUUAAGCUUAUUCUAAUGCCAACUUCUGUAGAGGUGCUUGUCUUAUUACAGUAUGUUCCUUUUGACAAAUCAACAGAAGUGUACAAAAUUCAUUUAAAUGGGUUCGCAAGGUAUUUUCAUUAGCAAUGCCACAAGGCAUCAGAAAGCACAAGUAGCGAGAUUGUGUUAAAUUAAUCUGCUAGAGUAUGGUGAUAACAGAGGGGCACUGUUUUUGAAAAUUGUUUUUUCUGUUCCAAUUGUAUAGGGCCCUCCGCAAGGAUAUUGAUUCAUCAGGUGUAGAUGUUUAGUUGGACAGAUAUUGUUCGUCAGUUUCUUAGUGCGUGCCUAGCUGUUUCCCCUUUUUACAUUGCUUCUUUCCUGUAGGAUUUCUUGAAACAUACUCCCUCCGUUCCAAAAUAGAUGACCCAACUUUGAACUAACUUUGUACUAAAGUUAGUACAAAGUUGAGUCAUCUAUUUUGGAAUGGAGGGAGUAAUAACUUGCUUCCACAAUUGUAGAAUGAUCAUGGUUUCUUUGCAUUCCUGUACUUUCAUACGAUUAACAAUUUCAUGGCUAUCCUAGGUAACAAACAGACAUCAUUGGCAUUAGCCAAUGCAUUUGCGUUAAAUGCCCUGCUGGCCGAGUGCAACUUCAUUCUUCUUUAGUGGGUAUUUGUAUUUUCCAAAAAGAAGUUGGUGCACCUCAUAGUUGUUUUGUAGCCUGACUAUUAUGCCUAGAUUUUGCUCUAUGAUACAGAACUAAGUAGUUAACUAUGUCAGUUGGCUAUCUGUGUUGCUUCAUAGUUAUGGAAAAACAGGGUAGAGCUCUAAUGACUACUCUCCUCAAUCAAUCUACAAGAGCCAAGAUUAUCUUUUAAGUAGAUUCCAUAUCUUUGAACAACAGAUUCUGAUUCUUUUACAGAGAUGUUUUAAUGCAUUUUUUAUCAGUUGCGCUACUACAUUUUACUAAUGAUUUGAGCUGCCUUAUUCCCACAUAGCGACUAUCUAAAUUAUUAACAUCGAGGACGGGGCGUCGACCCGUUGGCUGGGCAGCUGGGGUAGCUGCCAGCCCACCCGAGUUCGAGCCCCGGCUUUGACGCGUGGUGCUCGCGGAGUUUCUCCUAUAAAAAAAUGCCAACGAGGGUUAGCCCUUGGGUUGGUCUUAUUUAAAAAAAAUUUAUUGACAUCCACUCAAAUAAAUAUACAAGAGUUGUAUGAAAGGGAACCACUCAUCUUUUUAACAAGAAAUAUGUUUAGCGUCAUAACAAUGUUCAGGACGCACAUGCAUGCCAGAACACUGAGGGGUGGUCUUACAAAUGACAACUACUUUCAUGUUAGUAAUUUCUUCUGUUUGACAUAUUCCACGACCCUUCUUGCUAGCUCCAGUCAUUCAAUUUAUCAUUAUAUCCACCAUAUUUUUAUGCUCGGCAUUCCUAAUUUGCCGGUCACAAGAAACUGUAGUAUAAUGUCAGGUCGCACAUUCUUUUUGUUUCAUGGUUCAGUACAGGUCUCAUGGUGAGCAGCAGCUCUAGGUUGCAGUAUAAUGUCAACUGAUUGCAACAUCCUGAGUUAUUUUAUCGAUGUUUUUUAUCUGGAAACUUGAAUCUCUUUCAACUUUCAGUACACAUAUAUUCUGAUCUGUGCAUAAGGAAACUCACAAGUUUGUGUCCAUCUUUUUGGUUGUAAUCAUAUGGCUUGCAUAUUUUAUCGGACUGAUGAGUCACAAAGAUUGGACUGAUCAUAUUUGGUACAGAAGAUCAAAAGAAGCAUUUAUAUCAUCUUUUUGUGUGCUUUAUCUGUAGAAAAGUACCAUGGGUUGAUGGUGUUGGAUCCAAUUACUAUUUGAUGUAAUUGACUGCUAUUCCUAAGAACUGCUCCUGGACACAGUGCUCUAUGUUAUCAUGUCUUGCAUUCUGUUGUGUCGCCUAUCUUUAUAGUUACUCGGAUCUUACAUUUCGAUUUUUGUAUUUUUGUCGGUGCAAGUGUUGUCUUCCUACUAUCAAACAACAGGGAUUUCUUUAAAUUAAAUUGUACAUGUUGUCGAAAAUUAUCCUGUGUAUGUCUAUAUUCAUGCCUACUAUAAAACAAACAUUCUUCAUUGCCUAUGCCUUUUCCUUCUGUUAAUGAUGAUAAUGCAGCUCUCCAUCUUAUUAAUUCCUUCAUUCACUUGAAAUAUUGCCUAAUUUUUUUCUGUGUGUAUUUGGUUUAGAACCCUGACUUAUGGUCAAACUGAAGGUGCUUAGCAUGGUCUAGUAUGCAUUUCUCAGUUUCUCUUGAUUUCUGUUUUUGUUUCAUUUCAUUUUAAGCCGAUUGUAUUUGCAUACAUAUUGGAGAGGUUAUUUCUCGUGUGAAGUUACUAUUUUUUUCCAGUUCUGAAGCACCUUCCUCAACUUUUGAUGGUCUACUUUACAAGAGAAAAUAUUUCUCUGUUUGUAUGGUGCAGGUUUCUUUAUGGUCUACUUUACAAGAGAAAACAUUUCUCUGGAAGGAGCUGCAAGGAGUUCUUCACAUGGCAAACAUAGAUGAAGGAAUGAUGUAUGCCUUCACCUUCAGACGCAAGGCAAAGUGCCUCCGCCUCUGUCUAACUGCUCACUCCCUAUGAGGACACCAUCGUAAACCUUCGGUGUCACCUAUAUAUAGCUUGUGUACCAGACUUCAUGUUUAUAAUGCUCUUAUACCCAAAAACAAAAUUCCCACCACCUCUGCGGCUGGCGCACGAUUUUUUUUGGUGCAGGUAUUGCGAGCUAAUCCUACCCCCUCCCCACAGUUUCUGGAAAACGUGGGAUCCAUUACCAGCAGUAUCAAGAUCGGGGGCGAGGGCCGAGCAGUUUCGGCGGCGAGCGGGCGAUUUCGCGUUGGGCGCCCUCGUCGGCAUUGGCUUUCAGCCAUGGAGGAAUCGACGCCUCAGCUUCACGAUGAAACGUUACAGCGUCUCCACCGCCACCGCUUCUGCCCUGAGGUUAUUUGGCGGUGGGCAGCAGCGUGUGAAAUCUACUGCAGAGGAGUUGGGCAUUUUCCUACCGGUGGAAGACCUGCAUCCAGCCCCACAAGUCCUUUACUAGCCCUCCUUGCCGCAGUUCCAUCCUCUACCGUCAGGCCAGGCUGGUAUGAGAUUCUGGCAAGGAUCUAAUUUCAUAGCCCUUUUUCAUUGCGUGUGUAUUCUUCAGUAAUGCUCCCAAAUCUCUUCUCACACUAGAAUUCCAGAUACAAUGCAUCACGUAAUUUCUUUUGUUUAGUUGCCAUUAGCCAGAUAUUCACAGAAUUCGAGUUAGAUUUAUUUGAACUGCAGAGUGUCGUACUGACGCUCACCCAUUAUUCAUUCAGGUUAUUUCCUGUUAAUUUCUAUAGAAUAAACUAGAUGGGAAUGUGUUAUUUUGCUGAGUGAUCAUAUGGUUAUAGCUAGGCUCCAUUAGUUUGUGUAUGGAAGUAACCUGCUAUUCUCUCUUGAACCAACUGCAUAAGUAAAAUUAUUGUGAUUAUCCAUCUGAUGACAUGAGUAAUUCAAAUGUUGGUCUGUGUGCAUGCUGUCAAUGCUUGGCUCCUAGUACCUGUUUACAGAGAGUUAUUUCCAUUGCAAUGAGAACGGCUAUUAAUAUUUGCUUAUUUUUUGGUUGAACCAAGCCACAAACCAAGAGGAGUUAUUUCCAUUUUUGGUUGACCCUCUUCUCCUUUGUUCUCCUUGAUAGUCCAGCAAUCAGUAAGUUGAAAAGAUUUAAAUCAAGGUUUCCUGAUAAUUCUGUUGAAUCUUCCUGUAAGGCAGGCUUUUCAGAUAUCCCCCAUUUAACUAAAGGUGCAUUCCUUUUACUUCCGGUGAUAUAAACUUAAUUUGUCUAACCUUCUGUGCAUAGGGUCUCCUUCACAUGAGAGAUAAAGAUGUUCCUUGUACAGUAUUUAGGUUCUGUAGUAAAAAAAUAUUUUUUUUUGAUUGGUUGUUCUUACUUGUCAGUCACACAGGCCUUUAUAUUAGGCCUUAGAUGCUAGUAUUAAGUACUAACUGUUAACCCUUUGUAGUUGAAGAGCAGAAUUUCCACUCCCUAGUUCAUAUUUCUCUGCGCCUUAUUCUAGUUCCAAAAAUGCAUUUUGAUGGUGCAACUUGUUGAUUGCCUGCUGUUACUGUGAAUAUUUGAUUAUGCUUGAUAGCAUCACUAUCGAAGAUGGCCUCAUUAAAAAUCUUAGUUGGGGAGUGAAAUUUGCUUUAGUAGUAUGUAUUGAAUUUUCUUAUACAGUCAUAAGAUGAAUUUCUUCCUGUGAAACUGAGGACUGAAGGCAGGGGCAUAGGAUUAUUGUGUAUAUUUACAUUACACGGGGUCAAACUGAUUCUAGUGCUCAACAGUAUGAUAGUGACCCAAAAGCAAUAGUUUAGCCCCUGCAUAAAUCAUGGGAAAUCCCACGUGCGUGGAAAAUGAAGGACUCAGAGGUUAACAUAAUCCAUUUUAUAUAUACAAACUCUAUUAAGGACCCAGGUUGAAGACUUAUUCUUCACCCUGGUCGAUUGACCAAGUGACCACUGGCUCAACCAUGUAAAAUUGUACCCCAGGAGGAAGCACCUAUUCCAUUGUAGGCUCUCUGUUUGCUACACAAGAGAAAGAAAUUAAGUGUGUUGUUCUAAAAAGGGUGAUUAGUCAAACAUGAUGCAGAGUUGCUUACUAGUAAUUAGUAGCUUCUACGAUGGAGGAUGAUUUACUCAUAGAAUUAGUUGUUGUUGUUCACUAGUUUUUCACUACCCAUUUGAUAACAGAAGAAAAUUAAACCCCAUGUCUCUGUAUGAAAAGGUGCAGGCACUUAAUGGUCCAAAAUUUACAGAGAAAUAUGCAUGAUAUCAGUGUGAUUACCUCAUGGUUUGUUUUUUACACCGUCCAAAUCUAAUUAGCAUAUAUAUAGUCAAGAACGGUCAUAGCAACUAAGGCAAUGGGUAGGUAUGAUGCUUAGCGCCUUUCGUUUGUAGAUACUAAUCAGUUCAAACUUUAAGUAUAUACUGUCCGUUGUUGUAAAGCUGCAGAGAUGUCAAACCUUUUGUUCAGAAUUUGAUAUCCAAGCUGCAGAGGCGGCACAUAAUAUAGGGCUGGAGAAAGAGAAACUUUUGUGAAACUUAGCUUGUAUGAGACUAAUAGAGAAUCUGCAAAAAAAUAAUUUGAACCUAACAAUGAUAAAAAGUAAGUUGCCCUUGUAAAUCUGUCAAGUAAUUUUCUAAAACAAUUUUAUUCAAGGAUUAGUUUAACUAUUGAGAGGUCCUAAUCCUGUUUGUACUUUGGUUCUUCUUGUUUUAGCAACUACUGACCUUGUUCAUGGAUACAGGAACCGGGAAGAGCAAGAUGAUUUUGCAAGUUUUGGUUCGGUUGACACUUAUGUGUUUUUGUUAGUGAUUUGUAGCUCCUAUUUUUUUAUCUUCUUUUGAAAAUGUAACCCCACUGAUUAGUAGGAUCAAUAAUUACCAUAAUAAAGCUGCCACACUUGCCUUCUUAGAAGAUCCAUUAAAGAAACAUGGCAAAACUUACCAAUUGAUGUUUUUUUUAAAGAAACAUAGCCUGAUACUGUUGCUAGUAGCUUACAGUAAACCGAGAACAGGUGACAUCAUCACAUUUGCAUGGGCAUGUCUAGGUUUUGCCUCUCAAGGAAGACACCCAUUCUCUCCCGAAUUUGAGUUUAACAUGUACUGUACUAUUUCCAUUAACACUAUGCAUUUCAGUUUUGGACACUCCAAUGGCGACAUUAGGUAUGCUUAGCAAAACUAAUCAUUCUGGAAUCAACACAUCAUAUGACCGAAAAUACAUGGGCUUUAGUUAGCUCAUAGUAACCGUGUACAUGUUUAUUGAUCCAAAAAAGAUGUCUUGUAAAACCGAAUUACAUAAGCAUUUAAGUGUAAAACGUGAUCUGGAUGAUGGCAUUAUCCUUAACUAUGCCUUGCCAUGAUAUGUCCAUACAUAUUCAGUGUGCUCUUUCACUUGAGAACAAUAGUAGUUGUAGUAAGUUUUUCCAAAAGUUUCUGCCAAAAAUCACUAUGUUAGAGCCACUGGUGGUUCCUGGAAACUGUAAUGGGGAAGAACCCAUUUAUCAAUUUCAGAACCAGCAUUUUUGGAUUGAAUAUUUUGUAAUGUGUUCGAUUGUUUUUAACUAGUGAAAUAAAAUUACAGAGACUUCAUUAUUAAAUUUUACAUCUCUUGUGCUGCCUCGUUGACCUUAGUUAGGUAGAUUAGGUAGCAGUUCUAUGUUGGUAUCGAGCUGGUCAACAGAAAUUGCAUCGGCGUACUGUGGCAUCUGCCACAGCGCAAGCAUAGCUGCGACCUUGGUAUCUAGCCUCUUGCAAUUUUUCUUCAGCUUGUAGUUUGGGUACAUGCGGUGUUAAUUUUUGUUGCAUGUUCUACUGUUUCCUGAUUCUCAUGGAGGUACAAAUAUCCAAUUUCAAAAGAAAGGCAUUUGCCUCCAACUACCAUUGUUUCUUGACGUGGUUUCUAUUAAUUGAAGCAAGGUUCAUUCUUUAGUUGAGUUUGGUAGUUGAAGCGAUCCAGGUGAGGCCGCAACCAUAUAAGUAAGAUCUACUCCCUAUGUCCCAUAAUGUAAGAGUGUUUGUGAUACUAGUGUAGUAUAAAAAACGCUUUUAUAUUAUGGGAUGGAGGGAUUAGUUAUUAUCAAUUUUUCAUUAAUCAUGAUGAACUCCAUGGAAACAUACUACUGUUUUCUCCUCUUUGCAGAAUUCCCCUAGUGUGAGUCGACUUUAGAGCUCUAGCGUAAUUGCCUUAUGAAAGUCACCGCUUGAAUUUACCUUGCAUUUUUUGCAAGCAUUUUGGCAUGGUUUUUUACUCCAACCGACUCAAGUCUGCUCAGAACACAAACCACAUGAUGUGUCGAGGUAUCCUUGUCUUCUGGCUCCUUGCGAUGCCACUGGUGUACGGCGACGGAGCCUUGGCUGGUGACUGCUGCCACGGGACCUUGAAACUGGACCUAAGCAGUGUGUUCCAGGGUGGUGGUGACAUAGAGGAUGAGCGCAGUGGCCCUAAAGCCGGGUGCAGUCUGUGAAUGAAGAUAUGUCAAAUGACACUACAUCUCUUGAAGCUAUCCGAUAAAUGGAGAACGUAGGCCAUAGCCAAAACUGAAGUUAGUGACCUCAAUUGCUGUCACAUGAAGAAACUUAGAGCAGGAAAAUGUAUAUGUAAGAAUCAACUUGGGGUGGCAAACAUACCAGCCGGAAACAUUUUAAGGGCUGGUUCGUUGCAGCAAGGUAUGCAACAUUAUAAUGCUAAGCUACUCACUUGGACAAUGAGAUCAUGAAUUCAACUCUUAUGAAAAUUGAAGAACUGACAGAUUCUUGUACAAUCUCGAUGCGGAUACAUUUAACAUGAGAGAUGAAACAACUCUGAAUCCAAAGAGCAAUGGAAGUCAAAAUCAGCAACUAGCUGUGGCCUGUAGCUUGUUCACCGCCAUCAGACAAUCUGAAGCCAGAAUCAUCACUCGUCGAUAGCCUUCCGACACAGCAAAAUGCAGACCUUUGGUCAAAGCCGCUAUUGCUUCAGCCAGUUCUUGGAUGCUGACCCCUAGUCUGAACAACGCGAGCCAGGACAUCACACCCCCACGCCCAUCAUUUGAUCAUUCAAUGAAGUACUGCAGCAUCAGCAUUCUUGGCACUAUCGAUGAUGGCUCACACCUGGAGGUAGACACCGGGGAAACAAGACGCUGUUGGAUCAUAUCAAUAUAAGCCUCCUGAUCUUAUGCACAACCCUUUGUAGUACAGGACCACUUUUGCUUUUUCGAGCCUCAUUGGGUGCGUCCCCUGGGAAUUGAUAUGUAACAACAAUAGUAAUGGAUGUUUCUUUUAUUUGACUAGAGUUGUUUUGACAGUAAUUAUAUGCUUUGGAUUAUGCGGUAAUGAAUGGUUUCUACUUGCUA
RNA transcript from Triticum aestivum (bread wheat), 10265 nucleotides. RefSeq lists it as uncharacterized. The record is from RefSeq and is a predicted model, not a curated record. The transcript is spliced from 7 exons. NCBI's taxonomy places the organism in Eukaryota, Viridiplantae, Streptophyta, Magnoliopsida, Poales, Poaceae.